RNAcentral lists this ribosomal RNA (393 nucleotides) under Timema nr. nevadense WS166. Its description in RNAcentral is "partial 12S ribosomal RNA". The record is from RNAcentral. Lineage: Eukaryota; Metazoa; Arthropoda; Insecta; Phasmatodea; Timematidae.
UAAACUACGAUUAGAUACCCUAUUAUUUUAGAUGUAAAAUUUGUUAAAACUUGAGUAGUAAUAGUUAUGGGCUUGAAACUCAAAGAAUUUGGCGGUAUUUUAGUCUUUUUAGAGGAAUCUGCCCCGUGAUUGAUAAUCCACAUUAUAUCAUUCUUUAAUUUGUAUAUACAGCUUGUAUACCGCCGUUAUCAGAAUAUUUUAUUAGAAUAUUAAUAUUCAUUAUUUUAAUUUAGAUUUAUUUCAGGUCAAGGUGCAGUUUAUAUUGAAGGGGAGGUGGAUUACAAUAAAUUUAUUUAUAUGGAUUAUGAUUUGUAAUAGUCGUUUAAAGGUGGAUUUAAUAGUAAAUUUAAUUAAUAUCUUAGUUUGAUUUUGCUCUAAAAUAUGCACACAUCG